CGGCGGGUCAUAAACUCUCGCUAUUGCUGUGAUCAAUCUAAGGGGUUUGGGGAGCCGAUUAAAGCACGUGCAAUAGUAUUUGAUGUCUCAAGUUUCACUGUGGGACGGAGCCGACCUCAGGAUUAUUUUUCUGCUCUCACGGAGACAACGGGAGAGAGACGUUCUGGAAUGGAGAAGUUUUCCCUGAUAAAUUCACUUUUUUCCACCCGCCUAGGGCCAGUCCUGAUUUUCCUGCCAAACCUGAUGCUGGGGUUGCAUGGACAAAGAAUUCUAGGAGACUGUGGCCCACGAACCUCUGAACCUCACUCGAUUGUUGCUGGACUAUGCUUGGGCAGGCAGCUUCAUUGUGCAGUGGGAAAGUAAGUGGUGCUGCUAUUUUUUACAAGAGAUGUUGGGCAUAUUUCUCUCCUAUGGCACUGCUACAUCUUUAAUGGAAAUAAGGGGUAUGUUUUAGAGCAUGACAGUGCAUCUACUUUAGGACCAAGGUUUUUCCAUCAGCUUCACAUCACGGGAAGACUGAUCAUAUGAGAACCUCUGGACUUAGCCCCCAGGUCCACUGCUCUUUUUAUUUGCUCAGCUUUUAUUUAUGCCCCGGUAUUAAUGUAAAGCAGAGGUGCUAGUCUCCGCUUCUGGACUGAAACGCUGCUUUCCUUAAGUGGUUUAGGGACGUGAUAUUGGGUUCAUUCCUGUGUUGUCUCACCUUGUGAGAACAAACUAAAUUGUAGGCUUCCUGAGCUGAAGUGGAAGUUAUUGUACACUGCUUGAUGGCAGCAGCGCAAGCUCCUUACUGAGGUUUCUUUGAACCAUUGUCGCCCCUUCCAGAAAAGUCCAGGGUGCAAAGGUAGGAACAGGAGCAGUGUGAAUCAGAGUUCAUGGUUCAAGUGUGCAAGGUAGAUUUGAAGACUAAGCACAAAUUUGUGGGGGAGCAGGAGUAAUUUAGCACGUGGCUGAUUCAAGGGCAACGUGCAUAGAAGCAGCAGAUAGCUGCUCAGUUCUUCAGCUUCCUCUUCCAAAAUGUUCAGCUAGUAAGCUCCCUCUGGUGUACUAGUGCACUCAUUGCAACCAGAUUUUUUUUUUGAUCUAAUAAAAAGGUAAGUCACAAAAAAUUAUCA
Molecule: long non-coding RNA, 1112 nt
Filed under: Crocodylus porosus (Australian saltwater crocodile)
Lineage: Eukaryota; Metazoa; Chordata; Crocodylia; Crocodylidae
Description: lncRNA (ENSCPRG00005000738.1)
Source: RNAcentral